Molecule: ribosomal RNA, 497 nt
Filed under: uncultured bacterium
Lineage: Bacteria
Description: partial 16S ribosomal RNA
Rfam family: Bacterial small subunit ribosomal RNA
Source: RNAcentral
GACGAACGCUGGCGGCGUGCCUAAUACAUGCAAGUUGAGCGCUGAAGGUUGGUUCUUGUACCAACUGGAUGAGCAGCGAACGGGUGAGAAACGCGUGGGGAAUCUGCCUUUGAGCGGGGGACAACAUUUGGAAACGAAUGCUAAUACCGCAUAAAAACUUUAAACACAAGUUUUAAGUUUGAAAGAUGCAAUUGCAUCACUCAAAGAUGAUCCCGCGUUGUAUUAGCUAGUUGGUGAGGUAAAGGCUCACCAAGGCGAUGAUACAUAGCCGACCGGAGAGGGUGAUCGGCCACAUUGGGACUGAGACACGGCCCAAACGACUACGGGAGGCAGCAGUAGGGAAUCUUAGGCAAUGGACGAAAGUAUGACCGAGCAACGCCGCGUGAGUGAAGAAGGUUUUCGGAUCGUAAAAAUCUGUUGGUAGAGAAGAACGUUUGUGAGAGUGGAAAGCUCAUCAAGUGACGGUAACUACCCAGAAAGGGACGGCUAACUACGUG